This 360-nucleotide ribosomal RNA is filed under the name uncultured eukaryote. RNAcentral describes it as "partial 18S ribosomal RNA". It matches the Rfam family "Eukaryotic small subunit ribosomal RNA", at positions 592 to 976 of the family's 1831-position model. The record is from RNAcentral.
CAAUAGCAUAUAUUAACGUUGUUGCAGUUGAAAAGCUCGUAGUUGAACUUUUGGUAGGAGCGACCUGGCCUUGGGCGCAUGCCCUUGUUUGCCGUGUGUCGUGUCUGGCCAUCCUUUUCCGCUUCGGCGGGAAUCUUUUACUGUGAGUAAACUGGAGUGCUCAAAACAAGACGUUUGUUUGGUACAUUAAAGCAUGGAAUAAUAAGAUAGGACCUGGUUACUAUUUUGUUGGUUUGCAUAGCUAGGUAAUGAUUAACAGGGACGGUUGGGGGUAUUCGUAUUUAAUUGUCAGAGGUGAAAUUCUUGGAUUUAUGAAAGACGAACGACUGCGAAAGCAUUUACCAAGGAUGUUUUCAUUAA